ACAGUCAUCGAGUUAGCUCGUGUAGAAGUAGAAAGUUAGUGAAAAAUAGUCAACUAGCUAGUAAACUAUGGUAUUUUUAUUCAGUUUGUAGAUAGAUAGGAGCAAGAACUCUUCAAGUCGCCCUCAGGAAUAUCAUAAACUGCUGGUUCAGCCUAGUAUGGAAGAGCUGACAAAGGCAGAGGGUACUCCCGAGGACGCGAUGGAUGUUCCUUUAUACUGACGUUAAAGGAGGCAUUUAUGGAUGGCGAAAAGUGACCGUCAUGUCUUGGACACGGGCCUAUUUAUUGCUGUAUAAUUGUGCAUCGACAAAGAGGUUGAUUGAUUGAAGGUGAUCUUACGGAUUUCAGCAUUGCUGCAAAAGAGACCAAUGUAGCCGUCCCCCGAAGCAAGAUAACACUUAAACAAGCAGUUUUACAAACACCCUGUGACUGUGGAGCUACCACCUCCUCCUGCUAGACCUUCACGAACUCUCAUAAUGUUAACUCACAUGCAUGGUGUACUCAAUAAUUAUUAUCUGAUUAUCUGCUCA
Long non-coding RNA from Halichondria panicea, 529 nucleotides. RefSeq lists it as uncharacterized. The record is from RefSeq and is a predicted model, not a curated record. The transcript is spliced from 3 exons. NCBI's taxonomy places the organism in Eukaryota, Metazoa, Porifera, Demospongiae, Suberitida, Halichondriidae.